UCUGGUUUGGCUAAACAGGACUCCUCUCCCUUCUCUGGUCGUCUUCCCCGAAUGGAGAUCAAAGUCGCAGGCUGUGCAAGGAUUGAAGAGGUAAAAUUUUCUCCCCCUUGCUCUGAAUCUAUGGUUUCUCCCUCUCUCUCUCUCUCUCUGAUUUCUCUACUCGUUCUCUUGCCCGUUAUCAUCUCUCACUCUCGUCUCUUGCUUUCGGAGGCUUCUUGAGGAUCUCUAUCUUCUCUAGUAGCUUAUUGGUUCAAAAGAGUUCUCAUUGAAGAGGCUACCACCCUCUUGGCAUAGGAUUUUGCUGCAUUCGUUCUUGGCACAGAAUCCCUUAGACUUUGCCUGUCAAAGCCCUAGUGUGGCAGGUAUAACCAUCAUUGUGGAUUGUAACUCUUAGUUGAUUGGAUAUGUUGAAGAAUUAAAUUGACAAUUUCUCUUGCAAUGUGGCAAGUAUAUGAGUUUAAUAUAUGGAAUUCAGGUCUUGUUGAGCCAAGUUUCUAUAUGCAACUUUGUUGAUUCUCAUAAUUAUGCAUACUUUUUUGCAAAUAACUUUUUUUUAUAUGCAGUCUACCCAUGGUGGCUAGUUAGUAGCUCAUUCUUGAAUAGAAAAUUGAUUUACCGAACAAGUCUAGAAAAUGAAAUAAAUAUAUUAAGAACUCAAUAAAAAUGCAAUCAUCUCCUGGAACAAAAUGUUUGUUAUGCUUAAUAGCUUUAGUGCGAUCUAUAUUUGUAUGAAUUAUGCCCUUUGCUCAAGUAGUUUUUUCUUCGGUAAAAGACAUGAAGUUUCUUGUCACGGAUGUUACAAAAUGCAACUUUGUUGAUUCUCAUGGAACCUUGCAUAAUUUUUUUGCAAAUAACUUCUUUUUUCUUUCAACUGUCAUUCGUAUUACUUUUUAA
This is a non-coding RNA of Camellia sinensis, 894 nucleotides long. The record is from RefSeq and is a predicted model, not a curated record. Lineage: Eukaryota; Viridiplantae; Streptophyta; Magnoliopsida; Ericales; Theaceae.